CGCGAGGUGGAGCAGUGGUUAGCUCACUGGGCUCAUAACCCAGGGGUCGAGGGUUCAAAUCCCUCCCUCGCAA
Molecule: transfer RNA, 73 nt
Filed under: Campylobacter avium LMG 24591
Lineage: Bacteria; Pseudomonadati; Campylobacterota; Epsilonproteobacteria; Campylobacterales; Campylobacteraceae
Rfam family: tRNA
About the family: Transfer RNA (tRNA) molecules are approximately 80 nucleotides in length. Their secondary structure includes four short double-helical elements and three loops (D, anti-codon, and T loops). Further hydrogen bonds mediate the characteristic L-shaped molecular structure. tRNAs have two regions of fundamental functional importance: the anti-codon, which is responsible for specific mRNA codon recognition, and the 3' end, to which the tRNAs corresponding amino acid is attached (by aminoacyl-tRNA synthetases). tRNAs cope with the degeneracy of the genetic code in two manners: having more than one tRNA (with a specific anti-codon) for a particular amino acid; and 'wobble' base-pairing, i.e. permitting non-standard base-pairing at the 3rd anti-codon position.
Source: Rfam by way of RNAcentral